AUUGAACGCUGGCGGCAGGCCUAACACAUGCAAGUCGAGCGGAUGAAGGGAGCUUGCUCCUGGAUUCAGCGGCGGACGGGUGAGUAAUGCCUAGGAAUCUGCCUGGUAGUGGGGGAUAACGUCCGGAAACGGGCGCUAAUACCGCAUACGUCCUGAGGGAGCAAGUGGGGGAUCUUCGGACCUCACGCUAUCAGAUGAGCCUAGGUCGGAGUAGCUAGUUGGUGGGGUAAAGGCCUACCAAGGCGACGAUCCGUAACUGGUCUGAGAGGAUGAUCAGUCACACUGGAACUGAGACACGGUCCAGACUCCUACGGGAGGCAGCAGUGGGGAAUAUUGGAAAAUGGGCGAAAGCCUGAUCCAGCCAUGCCGCGUGUGUGAAGAAGGGCUUCGGAUUGUAAAGCACUUUAAGUUGGGAGGAAGGGCAGUAAGUUAAUACCUUGCUGUUUUGACGUUACCAACAGAAUAAGCACCGGCUAACUUCGU
Molecule: ribosomal RNA, 483 nt
Filed under: uncultured bacterium
Lineage: Bacteria
Description: partial 16S ribosomal RNA
Rfam family: Bacterial small subunit ribosomal RNA
Source: RNAcentral